RNAcentral lists this ribosomal RNA (499 nucleotides) under uncultured bacterium. RNAcentral describes it as "bacterial SSU rRNA". It matches the Rfam family "Bacterial small subunit ribosomal RNA", at positions 28 to 520 of the family's 1533-position model. The record is from RNAcentral.
GAUGAACGCUAGCGGCAGGCUUAAUACAUGCAAGUCGUGGGGCAGCAGGUUUGUAGCAAUACAGAUGCUGGCGACCGGCAAACGGGUGCGGAACACGUACAGAACCUUCCUUUGAGCGGGGAAUAGCCCAGAGAAAUUUGGAUUAAUACCCCAUAGUAUAAUGAAGUGGCAUCACUUUAUUAUUAAAGAUUUAUCACUCGAAGAUGGCUGUGCGGCUGAUUAGGUAGUUGGCGGGUAAAGGCCCACCAAGCCUGCGAUCAGUAACUGGUGUGAGAGCACGACCAGUCACACGGGCACUGAGACACGGGCCCGACUCCUACGGGAGCAGCAGUAAGGAAUAUUGGCAAUGGAGGCAACUCUGAACCAGCCAUGCCGCGUGGAGGAUGAAGGUCCUCUGGAUUGUAAACUUCUUUAUAUGGGACGAAAAAAGGCUUUUCUAAGUCGUCUGACGGUACCAUAAUGAAUAAGCACCGGCUAACUCCGUGCCAGCAGCCGACGG